AUGAACCGCUUCGCCGACCUCACCAACGCCGAGUUCCGCGCCGCCUACCUCGGCGCGGGCGCCGCUGGCAGGGCCCGCAACGCCGUCGGCGAUCGCUACAGGUACCAUGCCGAGGACGUGCUGCCGGCGUCCGUGGACUGGAGGGAGAAGGGCGCCGUGGCGCCCGUGAAGAACCAGGGCCAGUGCGGGAGCUGCUGGGCGUUCUCCACGGUCGCCGCGGUGGAAGGCGUCAACAAGAUCGUCACCGGGGAUCUCGUGAAGCUGUCGGAGCAGGAGCUCCUUGACUGCUCACGCAACGGGCAGAACAGCGGGUGCAACGGCGGCAUCAUGGACGACGCCUUCGACUUCAUCGUCCGGAACGGCGGCAUCGACACCGAGGAGGACUACCCCUACACCGCCAAGGAGGGCAAGUGCGACCUCGCCAAGAAGGCCCGCAAGGUCGUUUCCAUCGACGGGUUCGAGGACGUGCCCGCCGACGACGAGGCGUCGCUGAUGAAGGCCGUGGCGCACCAGCCGGUGAGCGUCGCCAUCGAAGCCGGCGGGCGCGAGUUCCAGCUCUACGAGUCCGGGGUCUUCACGGGGCGGUGCGGCACGGAGCUGGACCACGCCGUGCUCGCGGUGGGCUACGGCAAGGAGGCGGACGGCGGCAAGGACUACUGGCUCGUGCGCAACUCGUGGGGUCCGGGCUGGGGCGAGGGCGGCUACAUCCGGAUGGAGCGCAACGUGACCGCGCGCGCCGGCAAGUGCGGCAUCGCCAUGUUCGCGUCCUACCCCGUCAAGAACGGGCCCAACCCGAAGCCGGCACCGCCGGCGCCGGAGGAGAAGUGCGAUCGCUACAGUUCAUGCCCGGCGGGGAGCACAUGCUGCUGCACGUACGGCGUGAGGAACGUGUGCCUUGCGUGGGGAUGCUGCCCGGCCGAGGGCGCCACCUGUUGCAGGGACCGGGCGACCUGCUGCCCGUCAGAGUACCCUGUGUGCAAUGUCCGGAAUCACACCUGCGCCAAGAGCAAGGGAAGCCCGUACACUGUGGAUGCGCUGCCCCGGACGCCGGCGAAGCGACAGAGGACCGCGGUCUCAGAGCUAGUUGAUUCGAUCUUUUCGAUAUAG
RNAcentral lists this ribosomal RNA (1107 nucleotides) under Triticum aestivum (bread wheat). RNAcentral describes it as "partial small subunit ribosomal RNA". Lineage: Eukaryota; Viridiplantae; Streptophyta; Magnoliopsida; Poales; Poaceae. The record is from RNAcentral.